Molecule: ribosomal RNA, 242 nt
Filed under: uncultured bacterium
Lineage: Bacteria
Description: partial 16S ribosomal RNA
Rfam family: Bacterial small subunit ribosomal RNA
Source: RNAcentral
UACAGAGGGUGCGAGCGUUGUCCGGAAUCACUGGGCGUAAAGGGCGCGUAGGUGGCGACCCAAGUCGAUGGUGAAAGCUCGCCGCUCAACGGCGAGUCGGCCACCGAUACUGGGUUGCUGGAGCACUGUAGAGGCUCAUGGAAUUCCGGGUGUAGCGGUGGAAUGCGUAGAGAUCCGGAAGAACACCGGUGGCGAAGGCGGUGAGCUGGGCAGUUGCUGACACUGAGGCGCAACGAGCGUGG